This 484-nucleotide ribosomal RNA is filed under the name uncultured bacterium. RNAcentral describes it as "partial 16S ribosomal RNA". It matches the Rfam family "Bacterial small subunit ribosomal RNA", at positions 30 to 507 of the family's 1533-position model. The record is from RNAcentral.
AGUGAACGCUGGCGGCAGGCCUAACACAUGCAAGUCGAGCGGCAGCGGGUCCUUCGGGAUGCCGGCGAGCGGCGGACGGGUGAGGAAUACAUCGGAAUCUGCCCUGUCGUGGGGGAUAACCUAUGGAAACUUAGGCUAAUACCGCAUACGACCUACGGGUGCAAGCGGGGGAUCGCAAGACCUCGCGCGACAGGAUGAGCCGAUGUCCGAUUAGCUAGUUGGCGGGGUAAAGGCCCACCAAGGCGACGAUCGGUAGGUGGUCGGAGAGGAUGAUCAGCCACACUGGGACUGAGACACGGCCCAGACGCCUACGGGAGGCAGCAGUGGGGAAUAUUGGACAAUGGGCGCAAGCCUGAUCCAGCCAUGCCGCGUGGGUGAAGAAGGCCUUCGGGUUGUAAAGCCCUUUUGUCCGGGAAGAAAUCGUCUUGGCUAAUACCCCGGGCGGAUGACGGUACCGGAAGAAUAAGCACCGGCUAACUUCGUG